GAACUUUAUAAAAUAGCUUUUAAAUUACCAUAUGCCACAGAUGGCAUAGAAUCCUGAGAGAAGAUCAAUUUGAGGAAACUUAGGGAAUCAUUAAUAGUAAUGAUUCAGAAUUUAUUGAUGACCUUCAACACCCAACUCAAUUCCAUUGGCAAUCUGUUAUGCCAAUCACCAGCCAUGUUUGCCACAUCAAACGUUGAAAACGUGUUGACAAUAUCUGACGCAAAUGAAGCUGAAGAUAAAUAAACAACAACAAAAGUUGGCUCAUGGCGUCAGAAGAAGAUAAAUACCAAAAUAAUGUUGGUCCUUGACAGCCAUUCACGUUCCAGUUCACUAUACUAUUAAUUAUGAUGUACCGUAAAUAAAACGUUAUACAUGAGUAAAGUAAAAAUUUUGCAAUUUUUUGCAAGUCAAAGCUUGCCAAAAAGUUUUGCAAUUUAGAAAUUUGCAGC
This is a non-coding RNA of Pocillopora verrucosa, 449 nucleotides long. The record is from RefSeq and is a predicted model, not a curated record. NCBI's taxonomy places the organism in Eukaryota, Metazoa, Cnidaria, Anthozoa, Scleractinia, Pocilloporidae.